AUUGAACGCUGGCGGCAUGCCUUACACAUGCAAGUCGAACGGCAGCACAGGGAGCUUGCUCCCGGGUGGCGAGUGGCGCACGGGUGAGUAAUACAUCGGAACGUGUCCUGUUGUGGGGGAUAACUGCUCGAAAGGGUGGCUAAUACCGCAUGAGACCUGAGGGUGAAAGCGGGGGAUCGCAAGACCUCGCGCAAUUGGAGCGGCCGAUGCCCGAUUAGCUAGUUGGUGGGAUAAAAGCUUACCAAGCCAACGAUCUGUAGCUGGUCUGAGAGGACGAUCAGCCACACUGGGACUGAGACACGGCCCAG
This 308-nucleotide ribosomal RNA is filed under the name uncultured bacterium. Its description in RNAcentral is "bacterial SSU rRNA". It matches the Rfam family "Bacterial small subunit ribosomal RNA", at positions 30 to 334 of the family's 1533-position model. The record is from RNAcentral.